AGCGAACGCUGGCGGCGUGCUUAACACAUGCAAGUCGAACGCUCGUAGCAAUACGAGAGUGGCGGACGGGUGAGUAACGCGUGGGAAUCUACCUAGCAGCGGGGAAUAACCUCGGGAAACUGAUGCUAAUACCGCAUACGUCCUACGGGAGAAAGCAGGGGAUCACUUGUGACCUUGCGCUAAUAGAUGAGCCUAAGUCGGAUUAGCUAGUUGGUGGGGUAAAGGCCUACCAAGGCGACGAUCUGUAGCGGGUCUGAGAGGAUGAUCCGCCACACUGGGACUGAGACACGGCCCAGACUCCUACGGGAGGCAGCAGUGGGGAAUAUUGGACAAUGGGGGGAACCCUGAUCCAGCCAUGCCGCGUGUGUGAAGAAGGCCUUAUGGUUGUAAAGCACUUUAAGCGAGGAGGAGGCUCUUUUGGUUAAUACCCAAGAUGAGUGGACGUUACUCGCAGAAUAAGCACCGGCUAACUCUGUGCCAGCCGCCGCCGUAA
This 493-nucleotide ribosomal RNA is filed under the name uncultured bacterium. RNAcentral's name for it is "partial 16S ribosomal RNA". It matches the Rfam family "Bacterial small subunit ribosomal RNA", at positions 29 to 523 of the family's 1533-position model. The record is from RNAcentral.